GAACGGCUCGGCACGGGUACGACCCUUUUACAAAGUGUACUCCCGGGUGAAGGAGGCGGAGAAGGGGGAGUAAAGAGGGCAUGUUCACAUCCGGUGUGAUUGCACAUGCGUGCUGCCUUUAUUCCGGGAUAACUUUGGCCCGUGUCAAUCACACGUCCCGCUUCCCGGCUGAGCUGGGCUGAGCGAAACAAAGCAGAGAAGCACGGAUGUCUUGGGGCGUGACCUAGCGGAGCCCCGCCCCCCAAGCGCCCCGCCCCGCUCUUUGGAAUCCUAUAUAUAUCGAAUUUAAAUUACGGGUUUUGCUUAAAGCGUUGGGCGAACGUGACUGGGGGGCUCUCGCCCCUUGGAAGAAAACACUUUCCUAUAUUGUUCAAGCAGCACAGUUUCGACUGUGCAAGACACCCCUGCAGAGGGGUUGAUCACAGUAAACUGUAUUGGCCUUAUUUCUGAAUAGACGUGAUCCCGGACGUGAUCCCGGACGGCGUUACCAUCUGGCGUUACCAUCUGGCGAAUGACUGAAUCCUGAACCCUCAGACACGGAUCGGCAGGCCUGCCACAGAUAGAAGAGCUACUCAAGCUUACCCAAUAGGCAGAGUAGAGAGAGCCGUAUUGUCGCAGGAUAGUCUGCUACUACCGGAGCAAAAAGGGCGAUCGGAGCAUUUCAAUGAGGACUGAGCUUUCUGGAGACCCACUUUAUUAUUUUAUGAAACAGAGGUCUGCUUAGAAACAAGCUUCUCAGGUUUAAGGUGCCUUAACAUCUGUAUCCAUAUUUGUUGGUCCUACAGAAGAAAAAGUGGGACUCAAGACAGAUUGCACCAAGUGAGUCACUACAAUUUACAAAAUGGGAGAUUCAAUAAACAAUGCACCAGGAUUUUAUUUGUAGAAAUCAAAGACAGAACUAAAAAACAGAACUGAAGCAAAGCCCUUCAUGCAACAUCGUGUCCUGUGUAGUACAAGCUGUUCAGUCACAAACUCCAGGGGGUUACAGUAAGGAUGCCACAAAAAAAAGCUUCAAGAGAACAAUUAUCAUAUUUUGGAAUAGCCACUGACCUUUGAUACUUUACAUUCCAGCACUAGAGGAAUCACAGCUGGGAAAGUCCGUCUCACUUUCCACAGAGGUUAUGACAAUGGGACAGUCAUCAUUUCUGCAACGCUGUCUUUCGUAUAUGGAAACCAGCUGUGUGGAUUCAGAGAAAAGGGGCAAAAAGACCCCCUCCACUGCUUCCAUCCUUUCUGGGGGUAAAAGCAGGGUGACAGGGAAACUCAGAGCUCCUUUUCACUCCUUACAGCACUCCUUCACAGUGCUAAGUGAACAAGUGGUUUUUAAGGUGACUUCUCCUGGUCUAGGACUGACUGCAAGUCUGAUUGCACGUGGCAUGUGUCAGGUGUAUUGUACAGUUAUACACUUAGAGGAAUUCCAAUACAAUUCAUUUGUAGCAGUUAGUAGUUACAGUUAACCCAGCCUGAAAAAACUAUGCAAACUGAAGUGGGAUUCGGUUUCCUACAAGACCAAGCACAAUGUAACACUUUACCAGACCUGGAGACCCAUGUGAUCCAGGCUGUAAACCCAUUACCAUGCAGAAAAUGCAAGACUUCCAAUAUGAAAGAACUGCCUCACGCCUUAUUAAAUCAGAUUUACAAACGCUACAACCAAUUUUCAGUGAAAUGCUCAUAGUUCUGAUUUUUUUUGUGCAGAGCUAUGGCAUAAAUUGAAAGACAUUUCAGCAGGUUAACAGGCACAAACAAUUACAGGCUUUCUCCUAUGGGACAACAGCAGGUAAGCUACACAUGUUCCAGCUACACAUUGAAUGACAGAGAUCUCUGCUAGCCACUUUAUCACCUAUCAGGACUCUUCCUUCUAUUAAUCUAUAGGAGAUCAGGAGCAGGGGUGAGACAGAAGAGGUGAAAGUGAGGAAUCAUGUCAGCCUUGUCUUCAUUUACUAUCUCAGCCAUAUGGUUCUGUCUCCCCGCCCCCCAGAGGUACAGCAGAAAAGCAGUGACUUAAAAAUACACAUACUUGCCAUCUAAACUAUAGGAAUAAAAUGUACAUUCCUUUUAUCUCACCUGCUCCAAUUUUCCGGCUUUAAUAGCCCUGCAAUGCUGAUAUUUAGUAUAAGGAACUUCAAUAAAGUUCUGUGGUUAGUAUUCCAAAAGCAUUGUUAUCUGCCCCUUCCUUUUCAGACUGGCAACUUUGACAACUUUUUGAUUUGGAAACAAUAAAGGCUUGAAAAGAUCACUGCCAAAUGUGUUGUUGCAACUGCUUAUACACCACUUGCAAAGAGAGAGAAGUCAAAACUGAAAAGGCACUUUCUCUGAGUCAUGUGGGUACUCAUCUGGGAAAGGGAUCAAUAAGCAAAAGUUAGCAAUGGGAAACUUGACUAGAAUGUUUAACCAGAUAAGUGCUAAAAUGAAUUCUGAAAAGUACUUCUGGAAAAGCCACAACACAUCAACCAUUUGCAAUGUUUCAGAAAGUGACUACUUGAUGUAAAUUCCACAAAGAUUAUUUCAUGCAAGAACUGAAUGUGGUUCCCUCUCUCACCACCCUCACCCCCCACUCCUGAUCAGGGGAAUAAGGAAUUUAUCAGAAUAAUUGAAGAUAUAAUGGUUGUCUAAUAAUGUAUAAGUAUUGUUAAUAUUUAUGAAGUGCUUGUAACAACCACAGUUUUAUCCUAAACACAAUUACACCUUUACACUCUUUGACUCAAGAGACUUUGGAUAGGGCUGUUAGACAUCAUAUAAAAAGAAAUGAAAUAGUCCCUGACUAUUGAUGAAGUUAUGAUGGAGGAAAGGUAUGACUCUGAGAAUGUUAAGAAAAUUGAAAAAGAGGAGAUUGCCAAAAUGUGGAAGGAAAAAGAAUUGUUUAUAAAAAUGUGAUAGAAAUACCUAGCUUAAGCAGGAGGUGACUGGUUUUUUUAAGCCCUGAAGUAGUGUGGUUCUGUCUGCUGCAAUGGCAGUAAUGACAGGUGAAACCUGUUGCUAGUAGGUGCUCAUUCAGUCUCCCUGAAAGGAGAUUUUGUAUCAUCCCACAGCAAUCUGUUCCCUGUACUAUUAUUUAUCUAGCUCUUUCUGAUUGGCAGCCUGAUUGCUCUGCUGCAACUUGAACCUAGUCAAUGAUAGCUCUCUCUUGUCUCUAGGGAAGCUUUUAAAAUAUAGGAGGAUUGCUACCAUUCAUUAGGAAGCAACAGUAUGAGCUAGGCAGUCCUCCUUAUAGCCUGGUAUGCUAACAGACUCAUCAGUCAAUUUUAGUAAUAUUUGGUUUCUAAAGGAAUGAUUAAUCAAUCCAUUAUAAAUAACUGUGUAUAACCAAGGCAUGAUGAGCUCCUUCCUGGAGGGAAUAGUUUUUAAGAUAAGUGUGAGAUAUUUUAAUGAUUUAAUACUUAAACAUCACAGCAGCACAAUAACAAAAAAACAAUCAUUAAAAUGAUUUGUCGUAAUUUGGGUGCUGUGUGGUUUCCGGGCUGUAUGGCCGUGUUCUAGUAGCAUUCUCUCCUGAUGUUUCGCCUGCAUCUGUGGCUGGCAUCUAUAUUGUUUAACUCUGCAUUGUUUAACUCUGAGUAUAUGUUAUUGUAUAUGUUUUGUUAAUUAAAAACAAUUCAAUAACAUUGUUACCACUCAUUAUUGGAAAGGAAGACCUUUUUAAUAUUUUUUAAUUAUUUCCUUUAACAAUAACCCACCACAAUCAAAGUGAUAUAUAAAAUGAACAAGUUUAAAUAAUUAGAUUUAGAGUGUUGGAUUAGGAUCUGGAGACCCAGUGUUGAAGCUUCACACUGCCAUGGAAAUUUACUGGAUAUCUUAGGGCCAGUCACUCUUUCAGCCUAACCUAGAUUCUGAG
Molecule: long non-coding RNA, 3832 nt
Organism: Sphaerodactylus townsendi
Lineage: Eukaryota; Metazoa; Chordata; Lepidosauria; Squamata; Sphaerodactylidae
Exons: 3
Source: RefSeq, a predicted model, not a curated record